This 492-nucleotide ribosomal RNA is filed under the name uncultured bacterium. RNAcentral describes it as "partial 16S ribosomal RNA". It matches the Rfam family "Bacterial small subunit ribosomal RNA", at positions 29 to 507 of the family's 1533-position model. The record is from RNAcentral.
AGUGAACGCUGGCGGUAGGCCUAACACAUGCAAGUCGAACGGCAGCACAGUAAGAGCUUGCUCUUACGGGUGGCGAGUGGCGGACGGGUGAGGAAUACAUCGGAAUCUACUUUUUCGUGGGGGAUAACGUAGGGAAACUUACGCUAAUACCGCAUACGACCUACGGGUGAAAGCAGGGGAUCUUCGGACCUUUCGCGAUUGAAUGAGCCGAUGUCGGAUUAGCUAGUUGGCGGGGUAAAGGCCCACCAAGGCGACGAUCCGUAGCUGGUCUGAGAGGAUGAUCAGCCACACUGGAACUGAGACACGGUCCAGACUCCUACGGGAGGCAGCAGUGGGGAAUAUUGGACAAUGGGCGCAAGCCUGAUCCAGCCAUACCGCGUGGGUGAAGAAGGCCUUCGGGUUGUAAAGCCCUUUUGUUGGGAAAGAAAAGCAGCAGGUUAAUACCCCGCUGUUCUGACGGUACCCGAAGAAUAAGCACCGGCUAACUUCGUG